AUCCAGCUGACGAGUCCCAAAUAGGACGAAAUGCGCAAUAUCCUGGAU
This 48-nucleotide non-coding RNA is filed under the name Trichobilharzia regenti. The record is from RNAcentral. Lineage: Eukaryota; Metazoa; Platyhelminthes; Trematoda; Strigeidida; Schistosomatidae.